Molecule: ribosomal RNA, 872 nt
Filed under: uncultured Gammaproteobacteria bacterium
Lineage: Bacteria; Pseudomonadati; Pseudomonadota; Gammaproteobacteria
Description: bacterial SSU rRNA
Rfam family: Bacterial small subunit ribosomal RNA
Source: RNAcentral
CGGCAGGCCUCAUACAUGCAAGUCGAACGGUAACAGAUCGCUGUGAUCCCUUCGGGGUGAACUUGAUGCUGACGAGUGGCGGACGGGUGAGUAACGCGUAGGAAUCUACCCAGUAGCGGGGGAUAGCCCGGGGAAACUCGGAUUAAUACCGCAUACGCCCUACGGGGGAAAGCGGGGGACCUUUCGGGGCCUCGCACUAUUGGAGGAGCCUGCGUUGGAUUAGCUUGUUGGUGGGGUAAAAGCCUACCAAGGCGACGAUCCAUAGCUGGUCUGAGAGGACGAUCAGCCACACUGGAACUGAGACACGGUCCAGACUCCUACGGGAGGCAGCAGUAGGGAAUAUUGCACAAUGGGCGAAAGCCUGAUGCAGCCAUGCCGCGUGUGUGAAGAAGGCCUUAGGGUUGUAAAGCACUUUCAGUAGGGAGGAAAAAGCUGGGUUAAUACCCCAGUUCUAUGACGUUACCUACAGAAGAAGCACCGGCUAACUCCGUGCCAGCAGCCGCGGUAAUACGGAGGGUGCGAACGUUAAUCGGAAUUACUGGGCGUAAAGCGCGCGUAGGCGGUUCAUUAAGUGGGAUGUGAAAGCCCCGGGCUCAACCUGGGAACUGCAUUCCAAACUGACGAACUAGAGUACGAGAGAGGGGGGUAGAAUUCAGAGUGUAGCGGUGAAAUGCGUAGAUAUUCUGAGGAAUACCGGUGGCGAAGGCGGCCCCCUGGCUUGAUACUGACGCUCAGGUGCGAAAGCGUGGGGAGCAAACAGGAUUAGAUACCCUGGUAGUCCACGCCGUAAACGAUGUCUACUAGCCGUUGGGGGGCUUGUCCCUUUAGUGGCGAAGCUAACGCGAUAAGUAGACCGCCUGGGGAGUACGGUC